GGUCCCGAACAGGGCCAGCGAGUCUGUUGAUCCAGAGGGCCCCGAGCAGCAGUCCCCGCACACCGAGCAAAAGGCCUUCAGCGUGCUUGACCUCCUCAACAACUUCAAGCACUUAAUAAAGCCAGCCCUGAUAAUCUGCGUCAUUCUGGAUUUGUGGGGAAACUGCUAUCUGUUCCGGCUGCUGUGGGUUGCCUACCAGCUCUGGAGAGAUAUGUGAAGACAUCAGGCACAGGUAAGCGCUCGGGAUUCAUACUGCACAGAAGGGACUGAGGGUGGGGAGCGGGGAACCGCAAAGGUCUGGUCUGUGAGGGCUUCCAAGCAAAGCAGACCUCCAGAGGUCCAGCAGCUCUCCCCAGAGACUUGCCCGGCCCUAGGGCUGACAGCCAGCCGAGACUCCCAUGCAAAACGGGGCCUGCCGGAGGUGCCGUGAGCCCCACGGGCUGCCCCGAGCUGUCCUGGGACGCUGGAAAAGUGGCGCAAGAAUCAGAGCCCUGCAGGGCAAUGCUCUGCAAAACGAGCCUGCAUCCCUUUCUCUGCGCUCAUGCCCUGUCAUUUCCAGGGAACGGAACAAACGGCCUCAGCUUCAGAACGCAAACAGAGUGAUUUCCACAAGGCGCUUCUCUCCAUCUGGCAGCCUGUGGGUCAAAUGGUGACCGAAGGUGGCGCUGAAGGCACCUGCGAUGACAACAACAUCUUCCACUGGGGGGACACCAACCUCCCCCAGAUCAUCACCUCCAUUUUCCAUCAGUCAUGAAAUAAAUAACACCAUCAUUUCCACA
This is a long non-coding RNA of Tympanuchus pallidicinctus (lesser prairie-chicken), 779 nucleotides long. RefSeq lists it as uncharacterized. The record is from RefSeq and is a predicted model, not a curated record. Lineage: Eukaryota; Metazoa; Chordata; Aves; Galliformes; Phasianidae. The transcript is spliced from 3 exons.